This 159-nucleotide small RNA is filed under the name Sinorhizobium meliloti 2011. Its description in RNAcentral is "putative ncRNA". The record is from RNAcentral. Lineage: Bacteria; Pseudomonadati; Pseudomonadota; Alphaproteobacteria; Hyphomicrobiales; Rhizobiaceae.
UUUGCCCCUCUCCUCGGGUUAAACCCGAGGACUAGCCCUCUCCCCGCAAGCGGGGAGGGGGGACGUGCCUGAUCGGGCACAUCCCAUUCCAAGCAAUCUGGCGGAGGCAACAGAGCGCUGCGAGUCCCUUCGCCCCGCUUGCGGGGAGAAGGUGCCGGC